Molecule: long non-coding RNA, 587 nt
Organism: Vombatus ursinus (common wombat)
Lineage: Eukaryota; Metazoa; Chordata; Mammalia; Diprotodontia; Vombatidae
Exons: 3
Source: RefSeq, a predicted model, not a curated record
CGCAAGGAACGCCGCUGAAAGGGGGAAGGAAUGGCAGCGGAAAAAGUUUAAGAAGCCCUGGACCAGGUGACCUGAGUGCCUCUCUGGCUCUCGAGCUAGGAUCCUGUGAUCUUCAUAAUAAUUCAUAUUUCUAUAACGCUUUAAGGUUUGCAAAGCACUUCGUGAACAUUAGCUCAUUUGGUUUUCACAGCCCUGGAAGCAUUAUUCUGAAGACAGCCCAUUGCAGAAGCUUGAGGGAAACCACACGGAUGAAAAUCCAGCAAAGAUACCUGAGAAGGAGUGGGCAGAGACGCAGGAGGAUAACUAAGUGAGAGAAGUAACAAAAACCCAGAGAAGAGAAAGUAUCCAGCAGGUGGUCAAGAGUAUCAAAGGCUACAGAGGGGUCUCCAUCAUCAUUAGUCACCCAGCUUUAGAGUUUCAGUAUCAUCUGUGAUCCCUCUCAUCCCAUAUGUCCAAUCCAUUGCCAAAUCGUGUUGUUUCUAUCUUCACGUCUCUCAUAAUGUUGCCUUGUCUCUAUUCAUACAACCACAACCCUGGUUCAGACCCUGAUCGCCUUUUGUAAUGGACCACUGCAAUAACUUGCAAUA